CAAGAGGUAGUUUAUAAAAAUAUUAGUUUUGGGGACUAAAGAUAAGUUUGUACUUUCUCUUGA
RNAcentral lists this transfer RNA (63 nucleotides) under Thermobia domestica (firebrat). Its description in RNAcentral is "tRNA-Pro". Lineage: Eukaryota; Metazoa; Arthropoda; Insecta; Zygentoma; Lepismatidae. The record is from RNAcentral.